Molecule: long non-coding RNA, 1448 nt
Filed under: Felis catus (domestic cat)
Lineage: Eukaryota; Metazoa; Chordata; Mammalia; Carnivora; Felidae
Description: lncRNA (ENSFCAG00000049600.1)
Source: RNAcentral
GAGGAUUUCUUAGUCAUCUUUCUGACAAUAAACACAGCCUCGGCUCACAAAGGUCGGGCGAGAGGCCCCUGGACGGCCGCUCUGUGCUCUCUGCUGGAGCAGGGCUCCCCCGGGAGGAGCCACCCCAGAAAUGGACCGGGCCACAGCAGCUGUCCCCGGCCCUCGGGGAAGCCGGACGGGCAGGCUCUCCUGAGCGGGACCUAUUGGAAGGUCCUGUGGGAAGCCCAGCCCAGCCUGGGGAAUGCCAGCACCCGGGAGUGGCCGAGGCCCGGCUCGGAGUAUGGAGAAGGCACCUUCGAUCGUCCAUCUCCCCCUGUGUCACCUAGAUCGCCAAUCACGCAGGAGUGUGCGUGCACACAGGCCGGGCAUCACCAUGACCGAGAGCAUCUGGGAGGAGAAAGGGAACCAUGGCCUCUUGGACCCCCUGCUCUCUGCUCUGUGCGUGACACAUGCACACACUGACACUCACACCCACAUAGACCACGUGUGCUUCCCAGAUUCUCAGAGGGCUUUUUGUGAUUCGCAACGAGUGGACUCCGUGAUAGCUGAGGCCCUUCCCAGUUCUGGCAGCUGGAGGUUUAAAGACACCCAAUCUGCCCCAUGACGUAAGCUCCACCCACAGCAAUGUGCCAGGCACCAGACCAUCGGGGGCAGCUGUGACAUCACAGAGAUGCUUGUGCUUCGGGGGUGAAGCGGGAAGCCCUUGUGACCCCCCUUCAGGCCUUCCUGAUUGUCGCCCCAAAGGCCCACACUGAGGAUGGACCAAGGAGGAGCCCACUGCCAAGGCCUGCUCACCCCCCGAAGGGACCCCGAGCUUCCAUCUGUCCUCAGGUCUUCCAUAGCCACCCCUCUGCCCAAGCUGACGGCUGCACUCAGGGUUCCACCCGACUCCUGGCCGAGCCCUCACGUCACCGCACUGCCAGCACCUGCAGGCCCCACAAGAAGUAAAAAUUAACAUUCCAUCAGGCCAGGUUGGGGGUCUGUGGUUAGGAUAUGUCCUGUGUACACAGCCCAGCCCCUGGCACCAUUCUGGGCAAACAGAAGGAGUGUAAUGGAUGCAGAAACAACAUAGCACUCAGCCAUUUCUCCAACAGCUACUCUUAGGGCCCCACCAACGUGCCCGACAGGUGUGUGGAGUGGGGAACAUGCAGAGCACGCAACAGGGUUGCAGGACCGUCCCCCACCUGCCCCCCGGACUUCACAGGAUGUAAUUGCGCGCUCAUGGUGACAAAGCUGCACAGGAAAUGCGUGCAUGGCAGUCUACCCGGCUGCCCUAGCAGAGGGCACUGAGUGAGGGGCACCACAGCAGGAAAGUGUUGCCUCGCAGUCCGGAGGCCAGCAGCAGAGAGCAGGGUGUCAGCAGGUGGCCCUCGGAGCGCCUCUCCCUGAGCUUCCGGGGCUUUGCUGGCAGCCUCCGGGGGGGGGGGGGGGGGGCGGGGGGGGUGCCG